CGGCAUGUCAUUGGUCCCUCGACGCUUCGUCUGAUUCUUCGGCGCAUCGUCCUCUCCUGCAGCCUAUUGCCCAAUCGGCCAGUUGACUCCGCAACUCCGAUAUCCUUGGCACAAUACCCGCUCUUCUUGGCCCGAUGCCCGAGUCCACGGCCCGAAGCCUUCUGUCGAUACGUCGACCGAUCCACCGGCCCGACGUCCAAUCUUCUGACAUGUUCCUCCGGU
RNAcentral lists this long non-coding RNA (222 nucleotides) under Musa acuminata (dwarf banana). RNAcentral describes it as "long non-coding RNA (MACU_LNC007260)". The record is from RNAcentral. Lineage: Eukaryota; Viridiplantae; Streptophyta; Magnoliopsida; Zingiberales; Musaceae.